RNAcentral lists this ribosomal RNA (168 nucleotides) under Marinomonas balearica. The record is from RNAcentral. Lineage: Bacteria; Pseudomonadati; Pseudomonadota; Gammaproteobacteria; Oceanospirillales; Oceanospirillaceae.
CUUGACGAUCACAGAGGCGUUGAACCACCUGAUCCCAUCCCGAACUCAGAAGUGAAAAGCGCCAUCGCCGAUGGUAGUGUGGGGGAUCCCAUGUGAGAGUAGGUCGUCGUCAAGCUUCUAAUACAGAAAGCCCUGAUCAGAAAUGGUCAGGGCUUUUCUCGUUUCUGA